Molecule: long non-coding RNA, 1564 nt
Filed under: Oryzias sinensis (Chinese medaka)
Lineage: Eukaryota; Metazoa; Chordata; Actinopteri; Beloniformes; Adrianichthyidae
Description: lncRNA (ENSOSIG00000016877.1)
Source: RNAcentral
GGAGGGAGCUCGUGGUUUGCCGUUUUAGCUCCAGCGUCACAGCUGCAAGCUUUUUCAAAUGGCAUUUUUUCUUCUGAGUCAACAAUGUGAAUAAAGAAAUCCUUUACAUAUGUCCUCCGUAAUGAGAAAAAUGCCAGAAUUACACUUUCAAAACACCAAAAACAUGAUUAUUAUUGGAGUGGGUCUUUAAUAAUAAAUGUUAUAGAAUUAUUUCAAAAAACAGCUGUGAUGACAAAACUCUGUUACUUCCUGCAGGGAUGAGGGCUUAUUGUGGUUCCCAGGAAGACAGAGGUGUCGGCGUGCUGCACACUGACAAGCUGAAGCGUGUGAAGGAACCACAAACAAAACCCCCCCUGAUGACUCCGCCUUUCCCAGUAGAGAGCUGCAUUUGAAAUGGCUACGGGGCUUGAAACAACGCUUGAAUUUCUUUUUCCUUUCUCAAGUAAUGUAAAUGUGCUUUUUCUGUAGCAGACUGUAGAAUUCAUUUGUGCAUUUGUGUAAAAUAGGAGUUAAAAAAGAAAAUACUGUGUGCCUUAUUGAGAUUUCUACUGCAGGUAGGACACAUUGAGCCAAGGUGACUGAUUUUUUUUGAGGAAAAUUUACAUUGGACGAUUGUUUUUAGAGUGAUCAUUUUAAGCUCAGAAUAGCAUGAAUUUGCAAAAAAAAAUAGUCUCUAAGAGGCACAAAAAGAUGUUUUUUUAAAUUGUUAAAAAUUCAUCUAUUGAAUGAGCAUUUGUCACAGUUUACAUCCAUUAGGGUAAUAAUUAAUAACUGCUGCAAAAAGCGCUGCACUCUUUGUCAAAAUAGUCUAUUUUUUGGGGUUUAGAUUGAUGUGUUGCUGCUAACGUUUAGGAUACCAGCUGCUUAGUCUUACUGAAGUUCUCAGGUUUAGCUUUUUCAUCAAAAGAUUGUAUUUUAUUUUCCAUUUAGGUUAAAAAAAAAACCUCUUCCCUGCCCUACCGGCUGCAGCAAACAUCCGCCCAUCUCACAGCAUCGCUGCUACACUUUAGUUGUUAGUUUAUGUUGUCAGGGCAAGUAUCCCGCUUUGACAGAGGUAAAAAAUGCGUGGGAAGAUUGAGUCAAAUACAAAGUCACCUGCCACGGACAAUGCGGACUUGUCUUCUUUUGCUCUGGGUGGUUUCACGGUGACUCACACCUCCAAAAUGUGACCAAAAUAUUUCACGUGUUUCUGCUCCAGGACGUUCUGACCAUACUGAUCUGCAACGUUAAUGCUAGAGAUGAACGGGAUGUUUGUUAUUUAUAUUUAAAAUAUUUUCAAAUGUACUUUAAAAAUGCCUUUAAAUGAAAAAGAAACGCACACAAAAGUGCAGAGUCUCCAGGACAUAAAUCGUACCGAGAACAAUUUCUUGCCACUUAAAUAUUUUCUUCAAAAACUGUAAAUAUUCCAAAGAAACUUCGAAUGUUAUGAAAAAUACUAUGUACCUUCCUAUUUUUGCAGACUUCGUUUAAGAAGCAGAGCCAAAGGAAAAUGUUAUUUUGACAUGUUUGUGACAGUUUUGAUGCUGGAGUCGUUCCCCGCAAUGAUGCAGCACAACAACCACUU